This 1476-nucleotide ribosomal RNA is filed under the name uncultured Bordetella sp. RNAcentral describes it as "partial 16S-23S ribosomal RNA intergenic spacer". It matches the Rfam family "Bacterial small subunit ribosomal RNA". The record is from RNAcentral. Lineage: Bacteria; Pseudomonadati; Pseudomonadota; Betaproteobacteria; Burkholderiales; Alcaligenaceae.
GGUUCGAUUCUGCUCAGAUUGAACGCUGGCGGGAUGCUUACAGUUGCUGCAAGUUUGAAACGGCAGCACGGACUUCGGUCUGGUGGCGAGUGGCGAACGGGUGAGUAAUGUAUCGGAACGUGCCUAGUAAGGGGAUAACUACGCGAAAGUAGCCAAUACCGCAAUAGCCUUCGGGGGAAAGCGGGGACCUUCGGGCCUCGCACCAUUAGGAGCGGCCGAUAUCGGAUUAGCUAGUUGGUGGGUAACGGUCACCAAGGGCGACGAUCCGUAGCUGGUUUGAGAGGACGACCAACACACCUGGACUGGAGACACGGCCCAGACUCCUACGGGAGGCAGCGCAGUGGGGAAUUUUGGACAAUGGGGAAACCCUGAUCCAGCCAUCCCGCGUGCGAUGAAGGCCUUCGGGUUGUAAAGACCUUGGCAGGAAGAAACGGCACGGGAUAAUACCCCGUGCAACUGACGGUACCUGAGAAUAAGCACCGGCAACUACGUGCCAGCAGCCGCGGUAAUACGUAGGGUGCAAGUUGACUGGAAUUACCGGGCGUAGCGUGCGCAGGCAAGUUCGGAAAGAAAGAUGUGGAAUCCCAGAGCUUAACUUUCUCUUUGAACUGGGCAUUUUUAAAUUACUUGAGCCAGAGUGUCAGAGGGAGGGAAUUCGCGUGUGUAGCAGUGAAAUGCGUAGAUAUGUGAGGAACACCGAUGGCGAAGGCAGCCUCCUGGGAUAACACUGACGCUCAUGCACGAAAGCGUGGGAGCAAACAGGAUUAGAUACCCCGGUAGUCCACGCCUCAACGAUGUCAAUCUAGCUGUUGGGGCCUUCGGGCCUUGUGAAGGCAGCUAACGCGCGGGGUUGACCGCCUGGGAGUAAUGGUCGCAAGAUUAAAACUCAAAGGAAUUGACGGGGACCCGCACAAGCGGUGGAUGAUGUGGAUUAAUUCGAUGCAACGCGAAAACCUUACCUACCCUUGACAUGUCUGAAUCCCGAAGAGAUUUGGGAGUGCUCGCAAGAGAACCGGAACACAGGUGCUGCAUGGCUGUCGUCAGCUCGUGUCGUGAGAUGUUGGGCCAAGUCCUUACAACGUGCCAAGUAAACCUCAUUAGUUGCUACGAAAGGGCACUCUAAUGAGACUGCUUGCGACAAACCGGAGGAAGGUGGGGAUGACGUCAAGUCCUCAUGGCCCUUAGGUAGGGCUUCACACGUCAUACAAUGGUCGGGACAGAGGGUCGCCAACCCGCGGAGGGAGCCAAUCCCAGAAACCCGAUCGUAGUCCGGAUCGCAGUCUGCAACUCGACUGCGUGAAGUCGGAAUCGCUAGUAAUCGCGGAUCAGCAUGUCGCGGUGAAUACGUUGGCACCCCGGGUCUGUACAUAACUGCCCGUCACACCAUGGGAGUGGGUUUACCAUAGCAAGAACAACUGCAAGGAGGGCGAUUACCACGGCAGGAUUCAUGACUGGGGUGAAGUCGUAACAAGGUAG